CAAUGGCUCAUAGAAACCCAGUCGUUCAAACCUUUCAGUUUGACCCAGAAUCGGAUCCGGAUUACGAAUCACCUGAAGAAGUUGGUUCUCAGCGGCUACAGCAGGACGUCUCUGAAUGGUGCCGUUGUGGAAAAUGUGCGACCAUGCCCACAGAAGAGGAGAAUAUUUGCUGCAUGGAGAUACCGCAGGUUACUAGAAGACUACGGGAGGUCGAACUACAUCCAACGUGUAUGGUUGACCAUCCUGGAUUGGAGCCGGUCUGCCUAAAUGUUUACUCUAUUCAGAAUGCCAGCCAAAUAUAUAGAGCCGACUAUGGUCCUCUAAAUUUGAGAAGAAUACACAAUCGCUACAGGUAUCUCUCCUAUCGUUCCUUUGUGAGCUGGUGCUGGGGCCACCUGGGACGCCGUAUCCGGGUUGUCAUUCCAGCUUGUGUGGUCCUGCGUAUCCGCUCCGAGUUUCCUGCUGAGGAAGGCCACUAUGUUGGUUUUAAACAUCCCCCCGUUUGAACCUUGACACAAGGCUGCUGAUGACCGCCUCCUUGUCAGGCUUCUCAUACUGUGCCGUUAGGGGCUCUGGAACAGGGAUCUCCAACAGGGCCUCGGUGUAAGGCGUAGGGUUGGGAAAGACUUCCUCAAAAAUUACAUCCAUGAUUUCAUCAACGUAACCUGUAUCGUAAAACAUGUUUUCUUUACAAAUUGGUUGGGUCUUGUGUUACUGUGUUUUUGUAUUUAUUUGAUUUUUCAUCAAGAGAAAAACAUUUUAGAAAUCCAAAAUGUGUGUCGUUUGAAUUUAUUUGAACCCUUACCAAAGGUCUGCUGUGUUUUUUGUGGUUUAGCUCUGCACUCUCCCUUCCUAGCCUUUGCAAAGGACAUUUUAUAAAUCGGUACUCCUUCCUUUGUUUCGGCCUGUGGUCUGUCCACAUUGUGAUUUGAAUGCAUAGCAGCCAGGUAGAGUCUGGAAGUACAAGACAAAACAUGUUAAUAUUGACAGAUAUUUUAGGCUACAAUUCCAAAAAGUAUUUAGUAAACAAACUUUCUUUAACCUGCACAGCAUUCCAAUAAAGGGAAAGACAACAUUUUUGGGGGCAAAACGAAGAAUAACCGCAUGGAAAGCCUCCAAAGAUGAAGUUUGGUGGUGGGGGCUCAGUUUUGCAACAUCCUUCAGCGCCCUUUUAUUGGUCAGCAACUUCUCCAACUUGGAGAAAGUUGGAGUUGCUGCAGACAAUAAGAAAAUAUGAUAUUAGAAAACCAUUACCCAUACAGUAAAGAAUACUACAACCAUGUCCUCUGGUAAAUUUCUGAA
Long non-coding RNA from Gadus chalcogrammus (walleye pollock), 1302 nucleotides. RefSeq lists it as uncharacterized. Lineage: Eukaryota; Metazoa; Chordata; Actinopteri; Gadiformes; Gadidae. The record is from RefSeq and is a predicted model, not a curated record. The transcript has 4 exons.